GACGAACGCUGGCGGCGUGCCUAAUACAUGCAAGUAGAACGCUGAAGGAGGAGCUUGCUUCUCUGGAUGAGUUGCGAACGGGUGAGUAACGCGUAGGUAACCUGCCUGGUAGCGGGGGAUAACUAUUGGAAACGAUAGCUAAUACCGCAUAAGAGUAGAUGUUGCAUGACAUUUGCUUAAAAGGUGCAAUUGCAUCACUACCAGAUGGACCUGCGUUGUAUUAGCUAGUUGGUGGGGUAACGGCUCACCAAGGCGACGAUACAUAGCCGACCUGAGAGGGUGAUCGGCCACACUGGGACUGAGACACGGCCCAGACUCCUACGGGAGGCAGCAGGAGGGAAUCUUCGGCAAUGGACGGAAGUCUGACCGAGCAACGCCGCGUGAGUGAAGAAGGGUUUCGGAUCGUAAAGCUCUGUUGUAAGAGAAGAAAGAGUGUGAGAGUGGAAAGUUCACACUGUGACGGUAUCUUACCAGAAAGGGACGGCUAACUACGUG
This 495-nucleotide ribosomal RNA is filed under the name uncultured bacterium. RNAcentral describes it as "partial 16S ribosomal RNA". It matches the Rfam family "Bacterial small subunit ribosomal RNA", at positions 28 to 507 of the family's 1533-position model. The record is from RNAcentral.